UCCCGCACAAGUCGGCUGGAUGCAAUUGCGGAAUUAAUUCGAUGCAAUCGCGAAGAAUCCUUACCAAGGUCUUGACUAUAUACGAGAACGGGCCAGAAAUGGUCAACUCUUGUGGACAACUCGUAUAACAUGGUGGUGCAUGGUUGUCGUCAGCUCGUGUCGUGAGAAUGUUGGGUUAAGUCCCGCAACGAUGCGCAACCCUCGUUCUAUGUUGCCAGCACGUAAUGGUGGGAACUCAUGGGAUAUCUGCCGGGGUCAAUCUCGGAUGGAAGGUGGGGAUGACGUCAAAUCAUCAUGCCCCUUAUGUCUUGGGCUUCACGCAUGCUACAAUGGCCGGUACAAAGGGCUGCAAUACCGCGAGUGGAG
This 366-nucleotide ribosomal RNA is filed under the name Microbacterium sp. RNAcentral describes it as "bacterial SSU rRNA". It matches the Rfam family "Bacterial small subunit ribosomal RNA", at positions 920 to 1267 of the family's 1533-position model. The record is from RNAcentral. Lineage: Bacteria; Bacillati; Actinomycetota; Actinomycetes; Micrococcales; Microbacteriaceae.